Molecule: unclassified non-coding RNA, 299 nt
Filed under: Borreliella bissettiae
Lineage: Bacteria; Pseudomonadati; Spirochaetota; Spirochaetia; Spirochaetales; Borreliaceae
Description: Borreliella bissettii partial 16S-23S ribosomal RNA intergenic spacer
Source: RNAcentral
UGGGCAUAUUACUAUUAAGCUAUAGUUAGUAAUGUUAGAAUCCUAAAAUCUAAAAUUGUACUUACUAUUAAACAAAUCUUAAUUAAAUAUUAAGCUGAAUACUACCAAACACUUGUUAAAGAUUUAUUUUUUCUAAAUUUUAAACUAAAAAUUUACCUCAACUUCAAAAACUUUUUCAUUUAAAAAUAAAAGCAAUAAGAAUAAUCAAUAAAAUUAGCCUUAAUUUAUCUUUCUAUUUAAAAGAGACUAAUCCAAGCCAUACUGGAAAGUACGAGCUUCUUGUUACGACUUCACCCCCA